GUGGGGAAUAUUGGACAAUGGGCGAAAGCCUGAUCCAGCAAUGCCGCGUGAGUGAUGAAGGCCUUAGGGUUGUAAAGCUCUUUUACCAGGGAUGAUAAUGACAGUACCUGGAGAAUAAGCUCCGGCUAACUCCGUGCCAGCAGCCGCGGUAAUACGGAGGGAGCUAGCGUUGUUCGGAAUUACUGGGCGUAAAGAGUACGUAGGCGGUUAUUCAAGUCAGAGGUGAAAGCCUGGAGCUCAACUCCAGAACUGCCUUUGAAACUAGAAUAGCUAGAAUCUUGGAGAGGUGAGUGGAAUUCCGAGUGUAGAGGUGAAAUUCGUAGAUAUUCGGAAGAACACCAGUGGCGAAGGCGACUCACUGGACAAGUAUUGACGCUGAGGUACGAAAGCGUGGGGAGCAAACAGGAUUAGAUACCCCCGUAGUCC
Molecule: ribosomal RNA, 426 nt
Filed under: alpha proteobacterium SCGC AAA027-G06
Lineage: Bacteria; Pseudomonadati; Pseudomonadota; Alphaproteobacteria
Description: bacterial SSU rRNA
Rfam family: Bacterial small subunit ribosomal RNA
Source: RNAcentral